CAGGGAUUGCCCUAGUAACGGCGAGUGAAGCGGCAACAGCUCAAAUUUGAAAUCUGGCCUCCCUUGGGGGUCCGAGUUGUAAUUUGCAGAGGGUGCUUUGGCGUCGGCAGCGGUCUAAGUUCCUUGGAACAGGACAUCACAGAGGGUGAGAAUCCCGUACGUGGUCGCCUGCCUUCGCCGUGUAAAGCCCCUUCGACGAGUCGAGUUGUUUGGGAAUGCAGCUCUAAAUGGGAGGUAAAUUUCUUCUAAAGCUAAAUACCGGCCAGAGACCGAUAGCGCACAAGUAGAGUGAUCGAAAGAUGAAAAGCACUUUGGAAAGAGAGUCAAACAGCACGUGAAAUUGUUGAAAGGGAAGCGCUUGCAGCCAGACUUGCUCGUAGUUGCUCAUCCGGGUCCGCCCGGAGCACUCUUCUGCGAGCAGGCCAGCAUCAGUUUGGGCGACCGGAUAAAGGCCUCUGUCAUGUACCUUCCCUCGGGAAGGCCUUAUAGGGGAGGCGUAAUGCGGCCAGCCCGGACUGAGGUCCGCGCAUCUGCUAGGAUGCUGGCGUAAUGGCUGUAAGCGGCCCGUCUUGAAACACGGACCAAGGAGUCUAACAUCUAUGCGAGUGUUUGGGUGUCAAGCCCGGGCGCGUAAUGAAAGUGAACGGAGGUGGGAACCCUCUCCGGGGGGUGCACCAUCGACCGAUCCUGAUGUCUUCGGAUGGAUUUGAGUAAGAGCAUAGCUGUUGGGACCCGAAAGAUGGUGAACUAUGCUUGAAUAGGGUGAAGCCAGAGGAAACUCUGGUGGAGGCUCGCAGCGGUUCUGACGUGCAAAUCGAUCGUCAAAUUUGGGCAUAGGGGCGAAAGACUAAUC
RNAcentral lists this ribosomal RNA (853 nucleotides) under Keissleriella phragmiticola. Its description in RNAcentral is "partial large subunit ribosomal RNA". It matches the Rfam family "Eukaryotic large subunit ribosomal RNA", at positions 69 to 936 of the family's 3401-position model. Lineage: Eukaryota; Fungi; Ascomycota; Dothideomycetes; Pleosporales; Lentitheciaceae. The record is from RNAcentral.